AGUGAACGCUGGCGGUAGGCCUAACACAUGCAAGUCGAACGGCAGCACAGUAAGAGCUUGCUCUUACGGGUGGCGAGUGGCGUACGGGUGAGGAAUACAUCGGAAUCUACUUUUUCGUGGGGGAUAACGUAGGUAAACUUACGCUAAUACCGCAUACGCCCUACGGUUGAAAGCAUGGGAUCUUCGGACCUUGCGCGAUUGAAUGAGCCGAUGUCGGAUUAGCUAGUUGGCGGGGUAAAGGCCCACCAAGGCGACGAUCCGUAGCUGGUCUGAGAGGAUGAUCAGCGACACUGGAACUGAGACACGGUCCAGACUACUACGGGAGGCAGCAGUGGGGAAUAUUGGACAAUGGGCGCAAGCCUGAUCCAGCCAGACCGCGUGGGUGAAGAAGGCCUUCGGGUUGUAAAGCCCUUUUGUUGGGAAAGAAAAGCAGCAGGUUAAUACCCCGCUGUUCUGACGGUACCCAAAGAAUAAGCACCGGCUAACUUCGUG
Molecule: ribosomal RNA, 492 nt
Filed under: uncultured bacterium
Lineage: Bacteria
Description: partial 16S ribosomal RNA
Rfam family: Bacterial small subunit ribosomal RNA
Source: RNAcentral